UCGAACGAUGAAGCCCAGCUUGCUGGGUGGAUUAGUGGCGAACGGGUGAGUAACACGUGAGUAACCUGCCCUUGACUCUGGGAUAAGCGCUGGAAACGGCGUCUAAUACCGGAUAUGACAACCGACGGCAUCGUCUGGUUGUGGAAAGAAUUUUGGUCAAGGAUGGACUCGCGGCCUAUCAGCUUGUUGGUGAGGUAAUGGCUCACCAAGGCGACGACGGGUAGCCGGCCUGAGAGGGUGACCGGCCACACUGGGACUGAGACACGGCCCASACUCCUACGGGAGGCAGCAGUGGGGAAUAUUGCACAAUGGGCGAAAGCCUGAUGCAGCAACGCCGCGUGAGGGACGACGGCCUUCGGGUUGUAAACCUCUUUUAGCAGGGAAGAAGCGAAAGUGACGGUACCUGCAGAAAAAGCACCGGCUAACUACGUGCCAGCAGCCGCGGUAAUACGUAGGGUGCAAGCGUUGUCCGGAAUUAUUGGGCGUAAAGAGCUCGUAGGCGGUUUGUCGCGUCUGCUGUGAAAUCCCGAGGCUCAACCUCGGGUCUGCAGUGGGUACGGGCAGACUAGAGUGCGGUAGGGGAGAUUGGAAUUCCUGGUGUAGCGGUGGAAUGCGCAGAUAUCAGGAGGAACACCGAUGGCGAAGGCAGAUCUCUGGGCCGUAACUGACGCUGAGGAGCGAAAGGGUGGGGAGCAAACAGGCUUAGAUACC
Molecule: ribosomal RNA, 711 nt
Filed under: Okibacterium fritillariae
Lineage: Bacteria; Bacillati; Actinomycetota; Actinomycetes; Micrococcales; Microbacteriaceae
Description: bacterial SSU rRNA
Rfam family: Bacterial small subunit ribosomal RNA
Source: RNAcentral